UGUGUGGUGCGAUUCUGUGGGGUUUGAGGAGCUUAACACCUUCAUGCUUUGCAUAUUCGUGCUCUUGGGUGUACUUGCCCGUGUGGUUGGUUAACAUCAAUUUUGGUGGUCAUAAAAUGACUGGAGGAAUGUAGCUUCGAUCUUGUAUUGAAGUGUUAUAGCCUUCGGUAGAUGUGAUGAUCGAGAUUGAGGAUUGCAACGGAUACCCUUCGGGGCUACCUGUCUGAUCUCUGAUCGUUGCUCUGGUGCCGAAAGCUUGCUUACGGUUAUCAAAGUCGAUGGUCAAUAGGUUAGAACGGGUUAAAUUCGUUAAGGAUGUUGACGUAA
This 327-nucleotide ribosomal RNA is filed under the name uncultured fungus. RNAcentral's name for it is "LSU rRNA". The record is from RNAcentral. Lineage: Eukaryota; Fungi.